Molecule: long non-coding RNA, 4277 nt
Organism: Amphiprion ocellaris (clown anemonefish)
Lineage: Eukaryota; Metazoa; Chordata; Actinopteri; Pomacentridae
Source: Ensembl
GUCAGAGUUCAUCCCACACUACGUUAUCAACAAAGCUCGACGAAGCCAUGCUAGCGCAGUGGAACGACCUGCUAUUUGUAGCGAUUAUUAAGUGUUUACACUGCUUAAAGUCUUUUUAAGGCAAUAUGCCAGGUCCCACAGUUCAGUGCGGGACUGCCACAACGGUACCCGUGGGCUAAAGAAGUGGAUGGAAGAGUUUUGCCCUAUUCACGAGUGCAAUAAAGGAACCUCGCGCUGUAUAUGUGACCCGCCUUAUGUACUCGUCACAUUUCCUACUGAAAGAAAAGAUCCAGAAUGUCGUGCCGAAUGGAUUAAAUUAGUAAGUUUGACAUAAGAUCAUAUAUUAUUACCUUCUUUGUAGUCGUUAGCAAGUCUCGUUAGCAAGUUUUGCUCGUCCUUGCUAACCAGAUAAUUAUUGAUAUCUAUGUACAUAAGGAUAAGGAUGAACUUUAUUGAUCCCACAGUGGGGAAAGUUCACCAUUACAGCAGCUCCAAAGAAAAAGUAUAAAGGCAGUGCAGGAAUAGAUAAGAAAAAGAAACAGAGUGCAAAAAUUGCAGAAAAAAAACAUGCAGGGUGGCCAUUUAUUUGCUGCUGUCGACUCAUUCUCCCAACCUUCUCUGAGCUCUAAAGGAUCUGGAAUUCUCAGGUGACACCUGUCAACUUCGAUCUCGAGCAGGGAUUUAUAAUCAAGGUUGACAGCCUCCCUUUCCUGCUGUUUUGUUAAAACUAUUGGGGCCUUUUGAAAAGACAAUGCCCAAGCAAGGGACACGAGUUUUUUCUUUCGCUUCCCGAUAACACUGUAUCCUCGUUUCUUACAAAAUUCCUGUAAAGCAUCGACUUUACAACGCUCAAAGUAAUCAAUAUCUGCGUUGCACUUGGCCAUGUUUAUGAUCUGGGAUGUCCCGACCUUUGAUCCGGACCACCAUACCUCGCUCACGGCGAGAUUCCGAAUUGGCUUAUUUAAUAAGGUCCUCGCCACUGUUCCCUCUAAGCUGCGUGCGUGUGCAAUUGCGCACUGCUGACACGGUCUCCGCGCACAGAAAAUCUGCACUGCCACAAAAAAAAAAAUCCGACCUAAAUUGUAAAUAAAAUAAACACGUAACAAUUCAUUCUGUGCUAUUUUUCAGUGUGAGUCAGUGAGUGACCAGUGACUGGCUGCUGCAGUCAAUGAUGCGAUUCACAUACAUAUUUACCAUAGACUGUAUAUAAUGGUAUUUACGCAGCUAAUCAUCGUCAGGCGUCCUUAUGUGCAGCCAUCGUUGUUCUCAUAGAUAUGAAUGAGUAGAUAGGACACGCCCCUUUGAGCUGAGUGCUACGGCGAGGCUAAGCUAGUGGGGACAAAGUUUCAGUGCAUUCCGUUGAUGUAGAUGGCGUGAAAACAGAAACAAGAAGUAUACCGGCUCACUGGGCUGCAUACACAAUUACACACUGCGUCGUACGAUUGAGACAAGGAAACUUGGAAUGACUUUUCAUAGGUUUCCCAGAGACUAUGGGUUGAGGAGGAAUUGGAAGUUUGUCGGCUUAGACCUGUGUCAUUCCAUCAGUGUUAAACUUCCCGGCUCAUCUUUGAAGAGUACGUGCCAGAAAGACCACGACCAAGCAGCCUUGAGAUCUUAGGCAGCGUCUCCCUGAGACCAAAGAACUACAGACUCUUCACAACCUGCUCAAACUCUUGGUACAGGACCUCACCACACGGGUCAAGAAGGUUGCUUUGUAGAACUGUUGCAGAAAACCUCACUAAACCACAUGGAGGGGCCUCAAGAUAGUCGUCCAAAUGAAACCAUACAAAAACCAAACUAGUACAACCCAAACGCUAAAGUCUCCUGCAGCCUACCAGAGAACCUCUGAGAACAGAGGAUCAGGACAGGAACUCUUACCUUCUGGACAACCACCGCUGGUUCACAAACAAGAAUACAGACUGUGUCUGACCAAAAACCUCUGAAGACUCACUACAGCCAAGAUAAAGACAACACAGCUGCACCAAAUCCGCUAAUCACUGCACACAUUAGCACCAUGUGCUAACUGUGGCUAAAGAACCUCAUUUACCAAGACAACGAUCCAGUACAAAGCCCUAAACCACACCAAGAAACACAGUAAAGACGAUUUUACUGCUGGAAGCUGCAAGCCAACGCCUAAAGAACAAACUAAAGCAAUGGAGCCAAACCCAGUUCACUGGUGAAGAGAAUCAGAGGAAAGGUUUGUCUACAGCUAAAUAAAGCAGGAAGACACUGAGCUGCUCAGGUGUUCCUGAUAAAACCAAGCAGCCACCUGGACAGCCAAUAGGAACACAGCUUCCUGGAAGUCCAGAGGGCUGGGUUAGUGAAGGAAAUUUAAUUUGAAGUUGAAGCAGAAAGUUAACAAAGAAAGUUGAAAACCACCUUCUGAUCCCUGAAAUCUCUGAGUUUUCACACAAAGAACACCUGAACAUGUCAAACUGGUUCCAUAGUAGAACCAUCAUUGUAAAAACGUCAUAGUAUGGUGUGUUGCUCAAAAAACAUUAGGACCCGGCUGUCAGGGGACAAACAUGUAAGAAACAUGAGAACAGAGAGAACCCAACCAGUAGGUCACAGUUUAUCAUCCCCCAGUCAUCUCCUGAAGUCCAUAUGGUGAGAGACAUCAGUAUCUGGUUGUUAAUUUACCAGAGGAUGCUUAUAAUCAUGAUGAUGUGGUCUGUACUCUACAGUAUUUUAGUGACUCAAUACAUGCCUAAGUUGUUUUUUUUAAAAUGCUUUUUAGUUUUUAAUAAACAUUUAAUAGCCUAUAUGUAAUCAAUAAAUGGCCUUUGCCUAUCUUAAGAAAAACUCACUCAGAAAUCUGAUAUGUUAACAGUACUAAAUAAAUCAAUAAAUACAUGCAUACACACAAAAAUAAGUUAAUACAUUAACUGUGUUAAGAUAAGAUUUAGAUUUUUUUAAAAAAGUUGUUUAUGUUUUUGCACAAUCCAGUAUUGCUCACUGGUUGGUCAUUACAUUUUGUUUAGUUUGAUUUCACUGUUUAAAAUGAUGCCACCUCUUUUCAGACAGAACCUGUGAUAAUAAAACAAUACAAAAUUUUUAGUUCCGUGUUAAUAAAGCACUUAAAGCUUUAAGUAUGGCUAAAUGCUUUUUUCAGAAUUAAAUAUAUCACUCCUUAGGUGGUAGUGGCCCCAAGUUCAGUAAAGUUGGAAAGAUAUUCACAGAUUCAGACUUCCAGCAUCAAUAACUCAUUAGAUAUAGGUUGUCAAAACAUAAACGGUGCCUCUUUCCCAUUGUUGCAAGGCAGACAAUGUGCUACAAGCCCAGUUUUAUCAAAAGUAGCUGUCUUUCAAGCUACAGGAAUAACAUUGGUGUCUAUGGAGUGAACAGGGUCCGUCUGCAAUUUGCAAAACCGCUGCAACAGUAAAGAGAGACAAAUAUUCAAUAACUUCACUCUUAUACAUUGUAGUGUCACUAAAAUCACUGCAGCCUUCAACUGGCUCCUGUUGACAAAGUGUUUUAACAGAAAUGUAAAUGCUGUAAUUUGAUUCUUUUAAUGAACCAUGUAACUUGAAUGGAUGUGAUGCUGGUGUGACCACAGUGCACACGUCUGAUGUUGCUCACAGUGGUCCAAGGGACGCUCAGGGAGUUUGUGUGUUUGCUCAGACUCAGGAAAAAUUACAGGGAACAUUGGUCCUCGCCUUACUAUGUGAAGUGUCUAGAGAUGAUACAUGUUGUGAAUUAGUGCUAUAUAAAUACAACUCAAUUGAAAUUAAAUUAAAGUGUAUCGUUUCUAUAUUUUAGAUUAUCCUUGAUGGCAUAAAAAAGGGUGGAAAAGGUACAUACUACAUACUAUUGUUUUAACCAGACGGAUGAACAAUUUGUUCUCACAGGCCAUCGCUCUAAUAAACAAUUAAAUCUAUAAUGACAGAAACAACUAUUUUUGUAUGAUUAACAACUCAUAACCACUGUAAAUACUGUAUAUUACAUAACUGUUAAUAUUUCAUUCUACAAACAUCGCUCUCUGCUCCAUUGCACUAUUGCAUUGAAAGUGUCAGUAAUCCUGCAUUUAUUGUUAACCUUAUCUAUUCCUAUCAUCAAAAUCUGCACAAUUUACACUAAAUGUUUGGUUCAGUGUAAACAUGUUCUUUUACACAUAUCUUUGGCUGUGAUAUUAAUCGAUAAACACUUACGUUCCUUUCUUUAAUCUGUGGGCCUGGUUUAAAUUCAUGUGUGCUUUUUGGUGUGAAUACUUUGACAGCAAAGAAAACAUUUUUUAUUCAUUGUACGUGUGCAUGUACUUGGCCAAUAAAGAACACCUG